AUGUCCGGGAUGGGGGCCGGAUGUCCGGGCCUCUGGCCGGAUGUCCGGGAUGGACUUGGCUGGCUUCGGUUGCAUUCUGUGACGAGGGGCCGGAUUUCCGAGCAAAGGGGCCAAAUGUCCGGUACUUUGGGAGGAGACGGAUGUUCGAGGCAUGGUGUCAGAUGUCCGGGCUGUCAGGGUCGCUUCCGGAGCUCUCUGUAUAGGAAGGGGCCGGAUUUCCAGGGUCGGGCCGGAUGUCCCGCCGCUGUAGCAGCUCGCUCUUCUUCCCUCUCCUUCCUUCGCUCCCGCACACACUUGGCCUUGGUCCUUAGGCUCUCCAUGGUCUCCUCUGGUGUGCCUAAGUAUGCACAAGGUCCACGCUUGAGGUAG
Molecule: ribosomal RNA, 369 nt
Filed under: Triticum aestivum (bread wheat)
Lineage: Eukaryota; Viridiplantae; Streptophyta; Magnoliopsida; Poales; Poaceae
Description: partial small subunit ribosomal RNA
Source: RNAcentral